This 779-nucleotide ribosomal RNA is filed under the name uncultured Neocallimastigales. RNAcentral describes it as "partial large subunit ribosomal RNA". It matches the Rfam family "Eukaryotic large subunit ribosomal RNA", at positions 26 to 635 of the family's 3401-position model. The record is from RNAcentral. Lineage: Eukaryota; Fungi; Neocallimastigomycota; Neocallimastigomycetes; Neocallimastigales.
CGUCUAUAUACGUAUAGCAUAUCAAUAAGCGGAGGAAAAGAAACUAACUAGGAUUCCCUCAGUAACGGCGAGUGAAGCGGGAAGAGCUCAAAUUUGAAAUCUUCAAGGUUCUACCUUGACGAAUUGUAGUUUAAAGAAGUGUUUUCUGUUGGAGUUUUGGUAAAAGUUCUUUGGAAUAGGACAUCAUAGAAGGUGAGAAUCCCGUAUUUGACCAUUAUUUCCAACUUUGUGAUACACUUUCAAAGAGUCGGAUUGUUUGGGAAUGCAGUCCAAAAUGGGUGGUAAAUUUCAUCUAAAGCUAAAUACUGGCGAGAGACCGAUAGCGAACAAGUACCGUGAGGGAAAGAUGAAAAGAACUUUGAAAAGAGAGUUAAACAGUACGUGAAAUUGUCAAAAGGGAAGCGUUUGACACCAGUGUUGUUUUCCUCGAAAAUCAAUUAAAAAUGGCUGGGAUUUUGUGUUGUAUUGACUCUUAUAAGCUUUCUGCACUUUUUUCCUUAUCUUUUUUAAUGCACUUUUCGUUUAACAAGUCAACAUCAAUUUCUUUUGUUGUAAAAGAGGUCAUUGGAAGGUGGCUUUCUUUUCGGAGAAAGUGUUUAUAGCCUUUGACUUCUGCAAUCGGAGAGAUUGAGGUCCGCAGCGUAGAUCCUUCGGGGUUAGAUGCAUUUGUGCUAAGUUAUAGCCUUUCAUAGACAACUUGUUGACUAUGAUCAGUCAUGUAGCUUACUCGCUUAUGUCAUUUUACCUACGCUUAGGAUGUUGACGAUCAGCUGAGCGCG